AUUUGAUCAGCCUCUCUUACUGAAAUUUCAAUUUUGUUGGCUGGCGAAAUCAGAAGUGGAAAAGUUGUAAAGGUCCAUAACAAUAUUUGCCCAAGGGAUUGCUUGAGGAUUAAAUACGGGAUAGAAUUUGAAAAGUGAUGGGAAUGAGAAUCCUCGAGCAUGAGGAGUUUGGUUUCUUGAGGCUCCUUAAGGAGGUUCGGGGGAGACUGAGAAACAAGGCAAUGUGGAAAAUGGUUCAAAGACAAGAACAAAAGAUUUAAGGAAUCCUGUUCCUUCUUUCUCUCAAGCUAUGCAUAACUUACAGCAGUUUGAAAUUUUCCUCAUUAAAUGCCUGAAUGUUUACACCAUACAGCAAAUAUCCCAUACUGGGCCCCAACAGAUGACUCAGUUGGCUGUUAAUGAACGAUUUGGUCAAAGAUAGAAACAGACUAAAUGUGAGUUUGAGGAAGCCCUGAAGCCAGUUUCAAGUAUAUGGUGACAUCUCUCUGGUGGUCAGGUGGACCUGAUUUUUUUCUAUAUAGCAUUUCACACUUCCUGGUGGUGCUUGAAUGGAGGCAAGGAGUCAUACUGGGGAGAUAGAUGCAAGGGUUGCAAGUCCUGUCUAAAUCUCUUACUGUACAAACUUUGCCAUAUCUUCUUUACUCUUUGAGCCUCCUUGAUCUUCACCAUAUAAUGGUGGUAAUAAUAUGUACCUUUUAGGACUGAGUUAAAUGCACACAAAGUCAUUUUUCCCUCAGAUGGGCCAUAGGGUCCAUGAAGAGGUUAAAAUUAUACCUCCUUUCUUAACUUCCUUUCUGCUUACAACCAAAACUGUAUUGAAAUUGCCAGCCUGGUCCAUUCCAAGAUGGCCAAACAGGAACAGCUCUGGUCUGCAGCCCCCAGAGUGAUCAACGCAGAAAACAGGUGAUUUCUGCAUUUCCAGCUGAGCUUCCUGGUUCAUCUCACUGGGACUGGUUGGAC
This 960-nucleotide long non-coding RNA is filed under the name Homo sapiens (human). Its description in RNAcentral is "HSALNT0323389". Lineage: Eukaryota; Metazoa; Chordata; Mammalia; Primates; Hominidae. The record is from RNAcentral.